RNAcentral lists this ribosomal RNA (370 nucleotides) under uncultured organism. RNAcentral's name for it is "bacterial SSU rRNA". It matches the Rfam family "Bacterial small subunit ribosomal RNA", at positions 526 to 896 of the family's 1533-position model. The record is from RNAcentral.
CGAAUGGGGCAAGCGUUGUUCGGAAUCACUGGGCUUAAAGCGUACGCAGGCGGCCAUGCAAGUCAGAAGUGAAAUCCCUGGGCUUAACCCAGGAAUUGCUUUUGAAACUACGUGGCUAGAAUCCGGGAGAGGUUGGCGGAAUUCCGAGUGUAGCAGUGAAAUGCGCAGAUAUUCGGAGGAACACCAGUGGCGAAGGCGGCUAACUGGACCGGCAUUGACGCUCAUGUACGAAAGCGUGGGUAGCAAACAGGAUUAGAUACCCUGGUAGUCCACGCUGUAAACGAUGUGUGCUAGUUGUUGGAACCGUCAGGUUUCGGCGACGCAGGGAAACCUUUAAGCACACCGCCUGGGGAGUACGGUCGCAAGAUUA